UCCUCACUGACUAAUUAACAUAGCUAAAUCUUGUUCACUGAUGAACGAUGAUAAUGAGAUUAGUAAAUAAUAUAGAUAACAUGAGCAGAGAGAAGUAGCAGCAUCUAGAUUUUAAAGGUGUUCCUCUGUCCCUAUAUACCGAGUAAUCCUCCUAAAUGCAUCAAUUUUCUCUUUUACUAGACUCUAAGUUGUUUAUAUAGUAACAUUAAGAACCACGCACUGGUCAAGACAAGUCUAUAUAUCAUGUGCUAGUCCUAAUGAUAAUAGCUAGAGUAGAUAAUAAGUUAAAACAACUUCUACAAAUGAAAAAACCAAGAUUAGUCAUCAGUAUAUAUAUACGAAGCAUAUAGAAGAAAAUAUGAAUGUUACCCACACUCAGUUGGGGCUGUGGGUGUCGAACAUUGGUAAAAAUCAACUCGACAUAUACUUAAAUUUCAAAAAAUAUUAGAAUCUAGAACUGGACAAGAAUGCCGGAACUCAGGAUGCAAGGGUAACCCAUAAAAUUUUAUAUAUUCUUAAUUUUUGGACCAUUGGAAAUAUAAUCUAUUACCCCCAAAUAAGAUGGACUUGCAUCUAUAUAAAAAUAUAUGACACAUAUUUUCAAAAAAAUAAUUCAAAAACGAGUUGCCUAGGGGCCUUCAGUUACUAUAUAUGAUUGCCUAGGGGCCUUCAGUUACUAUAUAUAAUUGCCUAGGGGCAUCUAAAUCUUUAUAGAAAUUCCCAGAUAUACUUGUCAAAAUUGAACAUUCUACACGAUCAGGCAGAUUAUCAUCCAGAAUUGAACUAUCAGUUGAUAAUAUUUUUCCAAAUAAAUGACUUCUUAGUCAAUUCCCUCAACUUGUACCGGCUAGUAAGAAGUAUACAAAUUAUCUAUGGGUAUGCUGGGAUAUAAAGAUUUUAUUUCAAAUGAUGUUUUUCUUCCAAACGAUUUUGGAUUUAGAUUAGAUAAAGAGCACCUAAAUAUCAAUUUAAAAUGACAACACAAUUCACGAACAACUCCACAUUUAACACAAUUAUAUGAUAUUUCACAAUGACAUAGGUAAUUGUCACAAAAUUCACAAAUUAGGCCCUAAAUGUUGAUAACUAUCACUAUAAUACAUAAAAUUUAACAAAAAUCUAAACUUAAAAGAUGAGCACCAUAACAUUAUUAAGUCAAUANCAAUCAAAAAAUAAGUGUGUCCUCACACGAUUGCACUAUCCCUAGUUUCACACGAACCACGGGGCUAAUACAAUCUAAGGCAUUUAAUCCAUUUAGAUGUUUUAUAAACCACGAAAGCAUUUAGAUUUGGUAAGAUAUCCCAUUCAGGAUAUGAGUACAUGACUUCCUAAAGAAUGAGGUCAAGUCAUGGCGAAACUGCAAUUAACUAGUUCUCAACGAAGCUAAAAGUCAAGAGAUAAGCUCAAUACUUAUUACUUAUCCUUUAAAAUAUGGAUGCUUGCUUCAAACUGAGCUUGUAAAGAUAAUCUCAACUUUAUGUGGAAUGUUACCUGGAACAGAUAGAUUAACCAGACCUGAAAAGAGAUGAGGAAAACAAAAGAUUAGUUAUAUUAAUAUUUUAUUAAUGUGGAAAUCUUAUUUGGUUCAAUUUCCAAAAUAUCAAUAACAAGAAGAAAAAAAAUUACAAACACCAAAUACAAGAUAGUUUAGUUGCUGUAAUCUUUAUAUCUAGAAUGUGUCCUCAGUCCUCACUGACUAAUUAACAUAGCUAAAUCUUGUUCACUGAUGAACGAUGAUAAUGAGAUUAGUAAAUAAUAUAGAUAACAUGAGCAGAGAGAAGUAGCAGCAUCUAGAUUUUAAAGGUGUUCCUCUGUCCCUAUAUACCGAGUAAUCCUCCUAAAUGCAUCAAUUUUCUCUUUUACUAGACUCUAAGUUGUUUAUAUAGUAACAUUAAGAACCACGCACUGGUCA
Molecule: long non-coding RNA, 1909 nt
Filed under: Daucus carota (carrot)
Lineage: Eukaryota; Viridiplantae; Streptophyta; Magnoliopsida; Apiales; Apiaceae
Description: long non-coding RNA (DCAR_LNC003297)
Source: RNAcentral